This 300-nucleotide long non-coding RNA is filed under the name Lathyrus oleraceus (garden pea). RNAcentral's name for it is "Pisum sativum (pea) long non-coding RNA (PSAT_LNC032068)". Lineage: Eukaryota; Viridiplantae; Streptophyta; Magnoliopsida; Fabales; Fabaceae. The record is from RNAcentral.
CGUCGGCCGCCCAUCAUAGUUCUGCGUUAUGACGGUUAACCCUUCAGUGAGGGUGAUACCAGUCACCCCUUCUUUUUCUCUGAAAGAACUCGCCAGGAACCCUUGACAUUUGUCUAUGGUCUAUUUCUUUGACGACCUGCCCAUAAUAAAAGGUGACGACCAUCACCAAGGGCAUGUUCAGAUUUUUUGUUUUUAUUUUUAUUAUUAUUUUCUUUGCUUUUAUUUUUAUAUCUAUUUAUCUCUUACUUAGGGCUUAUUUUUGCUUUAAUUCUUAGCAAUAUUAAUGCCAUGAAACGAUUA